This is a long non-coding RNA of Pectinophora gossypiella (pink bollworm), 153 nucleotides long. RefSeq lists it as uncharacterized. Lineage: Eukaryota; Metazoa; Arthropoda; Insecta; Lepidoptera; Gelechiidae. The transcript is spliced from 2 exons. The record is from RefSeq and is a predicted model, not a curated record.
GAGUAGUGAAGGGAAAUCCUUUUGUAUGAAAAAUCUAAACCACUCAAGUUAGACGUUUGAAAUUUGGCAUGCAGGUACCUUAGAUACCGUAGAGGUGCACUAAGAAAGGAAUUCCCGAAAUUCCCACGGGAACGGGAAUUAGCGGAAAAAUAU